AACGCACGAGACCUGCGGACCUGCGGAGGGAUCAUUAACGAGUUAGGGUCUUCUAGGCCCGACCUCCCAACCCUAUGUUUACUGAACUUCUGUUGCUUCGGCGGGCCCGUCUCACGACCGCCGGAGGAGUCGCCGCGAGGCGCCCCUCUGGCCAGCGCCCGCCGACGGCCAACCCUUUCAAACUCCGAAUAAAUCGUGUCAUGAUGUCUAAGUCUAUGAUUAAAUUAAAGCAAAACUUUU
This 240-nucleotide unclassified non-coding RNA is filed under the name soil metagenome. Its description in RNAcentral is "partial contains 5.8S ribosomal RNA, internal transcribed spacer 2, and large subunit ribosomal RNA". The record is from RNAcentral.